RNAcentral lists this ribosomal RNA (253 nucleotides) under uncultured bacterium. Its description in RNAcentral is "partial 16S ribosomal RNA". It matches the Rfam family "Bacterial small subunit ribosomal RNA", at positions 524 to 776 of the family's 1533-position model. The record is from RNAcentral.
UACAGAGGCCUCGAGCGUUAGGCGGAAUCACUGGGCUUAAAGCGUGUGUAGGCGGCGUGCUAAGUACCUUGUGAAAUCCCACAGCUCAACUGUGGAAUUGCUCGGUAUACUGGCAUUCUUGAGCCAUCUAGGGGCGAGCGGAACAAAUGGUGGAGCGGUGAAAUGCGUAGAUAUCAUUUGGAACGCCAACGGUGAAAACAGCUCGCUGGGGAUGUGCUGACGCUGAGACACGAAAGCCAGGGGAGCAAACAGG